UGAACAAGGAUAUGCUUAGCUUGAUAAAUGGGGCCUCUGGCUUUGAAUUGUGUUUUUGAAAUGUAUUUCCAACAGAGGUGCAGGUGUUAGCAUAUUGGAAGAAAGCGUCAAUGAGGGUGAGAAUCCUUUUUGUCAUGUGCAGUCCUCUGUACACGGUGUAUGUUUGCUGAGUCACACUCCUUGGCAUUGGAAUGCAAAGUGGGUGGUAAGUUUCAUGUAAAGGUAAAUAUAUGAUUGAGACUGAUAGUGCACAAGUACCAUGAGGGAAAUAUGAAAAGGACUUUGAAAAGAGAAUUAAAUGAGUUUGUAUUUGCUGAACAGAAAGUAAACAGAUUUGAUUUUGCUGGGUGAGAUUGUGGUGCUUGCCUGACACUGCGGUGUGGUUCUAAGUACAAUGAUUCUUGCUUUGUGUGCCAGCUUUUUACACAUUUGAACAUGCAUGCGCAUGAAUGGUAGUAUUCCUGUGGGGGGUUGGAUUGCAUGCGUGUAUAAGCAUUUGUGUGUUUGAAGCAUGUGUUUGGUGAUGUUGGUGUGUGCACAUAUUGUUCUUCAGGAUGU
Molecule: ribosomal RNA, 558 nt
Filed under: Alexandrium tamiyavanichii
Lineage: Eukaryota; Dinophyceae; Gonyaulacales; Pyrocystaceae
Description: LSU rRNA
Rfam family: Eukaryotic large subunit ribosomal RNA
Source: RNAcentral